UUUAACAGCUGUGUGUCUCUACCUUCUGCCUGGUGUGGUCUGGAAGGCUCUCACAGGGUCCAAACACUGGCCCGUGGUCCUUCACGGUGAGACGCUCCAGCUUGGCCCUGAGGGCCUGCUCCUCCUCCGACACCAUGCGUGUUCAUGUUGUGACCAGGUGUCUCAUCCGGUGAGAAGGAUGUGGAAAAACGGGAAAAGGCUCCACGGCCUUUAUUCAAUGCACCACCACGAAGAGAGAAUGGCCCACGAACACCUGCUCUUCUUCUGGAGCUGAGCUGCACCUGAUUCAAAGCGAAGCCUGGCUGAUGACAGGACUGGUGACUCACCCGCUGACUUCGUAGGGAGACGGCACAUCGUUAGCCGUGGCGUCCAUCUUGGCGAUGACAACGUUGGGAUCGUUUGCCAGCUUCAGGAGCAAAGAAAGAAGGGUUUAAGGUUUGAAAACUUAUUUUGUCCAACACUCCGUCUGAAGUAUCUGCAGGUCAGAGGUGACCCCCUUACCUUCUCUCCCAGCUCCUUGUAUUUAGGCUCCAGGUUCUUGCAGUGUCCGCACCACGGCGCGUAGAACUCAAUCAGGACAUCUUUGCUGUCGUCGUUGACAAUGGAGUCGAAGUUCUCGGCCACAAUGACCUGACAACAAAGACUCCUAUUAAUCCUUUGUGUAAUAUUUUCAAUAAAAUCACGUGACAUGUUCCAUGUCACAGUUGAGCCAGUUUCUGUAGAUAAAAUCAUUUUACUUGAAUCAUAUACAGAUUUGAUCUGUUAGGUCGAGUGACACUCCAAUCAACCUCAACUUCUUCACACACGGGGAAGUUAAACAGGACUGGCUUCAUGUUUAGCAGAAGGAGAGUAGUCAGACUAACACAUACCGGCUCCACGUCAGGAUGCUUGCCUCACCUUGACAGGUCCAUCGUUGUUGUCAGGGAUGGGCUCAGACUUGAGGUAGCGCUUCAACUUGCCAUCAAAGUAGUCCUGCAGGAAACGCUCCAGAGCUUUUCCAUCACGUCUGUCAUCACAUCAGGAAAAGAGGUUCAGUAGGAAGAAAAAUCAACCUGACAUAUUGGCCCACAGUGUUCUCCUGUCUGUGUGCAGCUUUUCAUAUGCAGAUUCCUGCCUUUUUGCGCAGGGAGGAUGUGAAGUAAGAGUUGAGGAUUAAUCUUAUCUGCUGCUUUUUAUGGAUAAUUUUAUAAAACAAUUUCAAUAUUUUAACACCAGGAGGGAACCAAACAGAACUCCUCAGGCAUCACACGCAUAUGGGGCAUCACUCAUCACUCAAACAUUAACAGAUCAUCUUUUGUCUAAGUCUACGUUUGGUCAAUGUAAGCUUUGGAGAAAAGAGGCUCAUCUGGACUUACGAGAACUCCUCACUCAUGGCGUAUUUGUCUCCCUUGGCAGUGCGGAUGGCCACAACGGGCAGCUCCCCUGAGCUUCCAUCCAGGCCGAACUCGGACACGUCGUGGUUGAACGCGUUCUUGUUGGCAACAGCAAAGUUCAGCUUCUUGCCCUGAUCGAGAAAGCUCUUUGCCACCUUCAUCACCCUAAAAAGAGAAAAGAAUAAACAAGGAAGUCAAAAUAAGGGGUUUAAGAGGAAAAAAGGUUUAACCAAUGAGGGCAGUCCUACCUGUUCCUCCAGUAGUUGGAGCCUUUGGGGUUUUUGUCAUAAUCAACAUCAUAAUAAGCCACCAGCAGAUCUUUGCCCCUCAGCUGGUCUUUGUUGUCAUCUGUCAUGUGGGGACAGAUUCCAAAGCUGUAAUAGAGAGAGAAAAAAAACUUUAUCGGAGGUUGCAUAGAAGACACAUCACAUCCCAAAAGGUCCUGUUGGAACAGAGCCACGUAUGUAAACAUGUAACUCAGUGUUUCUCCACUGCCAACCGUUAUAAAUGUACAGUGUGUAGCAAAAUAGUCAGGCUGAGCCACACACAGGUGGUGGUUCAGGAUGUGAACUGUCAACAGACUGCGUUUCAAACUCACAUGUUGUCCUGGAUGAACUUUUUGAUUUUGUUGCUGGUAAACUUUUCCUCAGUGAAUUUGACUGAGCCGUCUUCAAACUUGUUGCCGAGUCGCGGUGGACGGAACAAGACAACUCCCCUAAUGAACGGACAAACAAAGUCAGGUUAGUCCUGAUCAUUUAAGAAACCCUACCGCGCGCGCGCGCACACACACACACGCACCACUCAUGUGACAGGCCAAAUAAAGAACGAGUUACUUACUCCCCGUCGACAUCGUGGCUCUUGAGAAGAGCUUCAGAGUUGGUGUGGGCGAAGCGGUAGUUGUCCCGCAAGGCACUGGCUGCCUUGAGGAACUCUGUCUGUGCUGUGCUCUUGUCAUCAGCAAAGAAUCC
Long non-coding RNA from Betta splendens (Siamese fighting fish), 2341 nucleotides. RefSeq lists it as uncharacterized. Lineage: Eukaryota; Metazoa; Chordata; Actinopteri; Anabantiformes; Osphronemidae. The transcript has 3 exons. The record is from RefSeq and is a predicted model, not a curated record.